Molecule: ribosomal RNA, 311 nt
Filed under: uncultured eukaryote
Lineage: Eukaryota
Description: partial 18S ribosomal RNA
Rfam family: Eukaryotic small subunit ribosomal RNA
Source: RNAcentral
CCCCUAGACGUUCUGGGCUGCACGCGCGCUACAAUAAUACGCACAGCGAGUAUCACCGAGCUCGAAAGGGCAAGAUAAACAAUAGAAAAGGUACUGUAAUGGUUAUAGAUCCUUGUAAUUAUUGAUCUUCAACGAGGAAUUCCUAGUAAGUAUGUGUCAUCAUCACGCACUGAUUACGUCCCUGCCCUUUGUACACACCGCCCGUCGCUCCUACCGAUUGGGUGAGCCGAUGAAACUCUCGGAUGUAGGCUAUUCAUAGCCCGCAGAAGAGAUUUGAAUCGUAGCGCUUAGAGGAAGGAGAAGUCGUAACA